Non-coding RNA from Gossypium raimondii (Peruvian cotton), 142 nucleotides. NCBI's taxonomy places the organism in Eukaryota, Viridiplantae, Streptophyta, Magnoliopsida, Malvales, Malvaceae. The record is from Rfam.
UAUUAAAAAUUCCAUCCAUAUUUUUCUGUUAAAAACUAACUUUGUUGACAAAAUAACUAGAUAGUUAUCCGUGGCAUGCCACACGUAUAUUAUUCUAACAAAUGACUAAUUUUUAACAAUAGAAUAGAUAGAAUUUUUAACA